Molecule: ribosomal RNA, 465 nt
Filed under: Notholebias minimus
Lineage: Eukaryota; Metazoa; Chordata; Actinopteri; Cyprinodontiformes; Rivulidae
Description: Leptolebias minimus partial 16S ribosomal RNA
Rfam family: Bacterial large subunit ribosomal RNA
Source: RNAcentral
AAACAUCGCCUCUUGCCAAAAUAUAAGAGGUCCCGCCUGCCCUGUGACAUAUGUUUAACGGCCGCGGUAUCCUGACCGUGUGAAGGUAGCGUAAUCACUUGUCUUUUAAAUGAAGACCCGUAUGAAUGGCUUAACGAAGGCUUAACUGUCUCAUUCUUUCGGUCAAUGAAAUUGAUUUUCCCGUGCAGAAGCGGGAAUAAAACCAUAAGACGAAAAGACCCUGUGGAGCUUUAGAUCCUAUUUACAUCUUCGGUUGGGGCGACCACGGAAAAAACUUCCAGGUUAUUUAGAAUAACACCUCAAAACUUUAGAACUUCUAACCCUUGAUCCGGUUCACCGAUUAACGAAACAAGUUACCCCAGGGAUAACAGCGCAAUCUCCUUUUAGAGUCCAUAUCGACAAGGAGGCUUACGACCUCGAUGUUGGAUCAGGGCAUCCUAAUGGCGCAACCGCUAUUAAGGGUUC